UACGAAGGGGGCUAGCGUUGCUCGGAAUCACUGGGCGCAAAGCGCACGUAGGCGGACUCUUAAGUCGGUGGUGAAAUCCUGGAGCUCAACUCCAGAACUGCCUCCGAUACUGGGAGCCUUCGAGUCCGGGAGAGGUGAGUGGAACUGCGAGUGUAGAGGUGAAAUUCGUAGAUAUUCGCAAGAACACCAGUGGCGAAGGCGGCUCACUGGCCCGGUACUGACGCUGAGGUGCGAAAGCGUGGGGAGCAAACAGG
Molecule: ribosomal RNA, 254 nt
Filed under: uncultured bacterium
Lineage: Bacteria
Description: partial 16S ribosomal RNA
Rfam family: Bacterial small subunit ribosomal RNA
Source: RNAcentral